CUUGUGAACAGGGGGUGCUAUCCAGCCUGGAUGCCAUGAUGGUUCGGGGCAGGGAAACCUAGAUGACCUCGUCCAGCAAAGAAAGAGCAGAUACCCGGUUGGUAUUUGAGGUCCCAGAGCCCCGAAAGGCAGCUGCUGGGGUUUCUACAAGUCCAGCUUCUGAGCCCCUGGCCUCAAGGAAGAAGAUAGCAAAGCAAAUGAGCCCUGAGUGGGCUGGCCUCCCAAGGGGACCUUGGGGCAGCCUUGCUAAGCAGGGAUUUUGCUGGGUGACUCAAAGCCAGGACCAUUCGAUAGAUUCCGGGCAUCCGGUAUCCACAAGCUGCAUCCAAUUCAUGCAGUAACAGUGGGGCAGCACCCUGGCCCUCCUCCUCCUCCGCUCUCUCCGCCUGCUUCCCCACAGAAUAUUCUCCUGGACGUGUCUUCGUCGGGCAGCUGAUGCUCACCUUCUCCUCCAAGGGUGGACGCACAUCAAAACUUUUCCUUAGCGCAUCCAUCCUGACGGUCAGCUCUUUUGGGGUAAUGUGGGGGAAGUUCAGUAACUUAUGCUAAGGGAGGAAGAACUUGGGGACUGAGUCUUGGUUUGGACCUACCCCUAACCAUCACUGGGAGCAGAGGAUGAACAAGUUUGCAACCUCUGUGGGCCUCGGUUUUUUUCUCUGUGGUCUGGGGCUAUAUGAAUGCUUUCUGGUCCUUCCAGCAGCAAGUUCCUUCACAUCUCUUUUGAAAUGCCCACCUUGUUGGGCAUAGGACAAGCAGCCUUCUUUGUUACGAAAUAAGGUGGAUUAUCAGUUCCUUUUCUUAGAUGCCAUUGUACCCCUGUCAUUCAAGUCUCUGCACAAUCACUCGGCUGGGCAUUGCCCAAUGCUCCAUAGACCCUGGCCCUGUGUCCAUCUCAUUAAGCCCCCCACAUGUCUUAUAAGGGAGCAAACACCGAGCAAAUGUGGCGGGAUUGUGCCGAGCCCCCUCUGGGGCAGUGGGAGUGGGUGGUUACUGCUGCAGUCCUCGCUAAGCGGGGUUGGGAGAGCACCAGAUUGUUCUGGAAGUUCUCUUCCUGACAGAUGCACGAAACACCUGGUGCAAGUCUCCUUAAUCUUUC
Zalophus californianus (California sea lion) is the source of this 1096-nucleotide long non-coding RNA. RefSeq lists it as uncharacterized. The record is from RefSeq and is a predicted model, not a curated record. The transcript is spliced from 3 exons. Lineage: Eukaryota; Metazoa; Chordata; Mammalia; Carnivora; Otariidae.